AGUGAACGCUGGCGGUAGGCCUAACACAUGCAAGUCGAACGGCAGCACAGUAAGAGCUUGCUCUUACGGGUGGCGAGUGGCGGACGGGUGAGGAAUACAUCGGAAUCUACUUUUUCGUGGGGGAUAACGUAGGGAAACUUACGCUAAUACCGCAUACGACCUACGGGUGAAAGCAGGGGAUCUUCGGACCUUGCGCGAUUGAAUGAGCCGAUGUCGGAUUAGCUAGUUGGCGGGGUAAAGGCCCACCAAGGCGACGAUCCGUAGCUGGUCUGAGAGGAUGAUCAGCCACACUGGAACUGAGACACGGUCCAGACUCCUACGGGAGGCAGCAGUGGGGAAUAUUGGACAAUGGGCGCAAGCCUGAUCCAGCCAUGCCGCGUGGGUGAAGAAGGCCUUCGGGUUGUAAAGCCCUGUUGUUGGGAAAGAAAAGCAGCAGGUUAAUACCCCGCUGUUCUGACGGUACCCAAAGAAUAAGCACCGGCUAACUUCGUG
This 492-nucleotide ribosomal RNA is filed under the name uncultured bacterium. RNAcentral's name for it is "partial 16S ribosomal RNA". It matches the Rfam family "Bacterial small subunit ribosomal RNA", at positions 29 to 507 of the family's 1533-position model. The record is from RNAcentral.